CCACCCCAUCCGCAGUUCCGCUGCCCGUGGUUUCUGUUACCCGAGAUCAACCGCCCUCUGAAGGCAGAUGACACUUCUGCUGCUGGAAGGUCAGAAGGUCAGCGGUGGACUAACGCUACGUCACUGCGCGUGUGUCACGCCACUUCAUCUCAUCACGCCGGUAUUUUAUCAUCUCCCAUCAUCACAAGAAGGGAAAUCACUAAAUUCUCAAUCAAGGUCAUCCCACGUGUCAAAGUUGACAGAGUCCUGUCUGUUUCACCUGUUACGAGAGUGUGCAGCUGCAUCACAGAUCCGGGUUUAUUCAAUCUGGAUCAUAAAGCUAUGGUCUUACAUAAAACAAGGGAUGCGGGAUUUAUGAACAUGUUUGGUUUGGGUUAUCAAGAGUCUAUUUCCUGUCAAUAGGAAAUGAAAUCAUAAAAAAUAAAACUACCGAUAGGACUCAACACGGGAACUGCUGUAUCAUAAUGACCGUGUUCCCAUGGUGAUCUCACAAGAUAUGCAAACACCCGGGGCCACUUUACCGUCAGCACACGAUUUAGGAGUGACACUGAGCCCGUUGGUAGAUGGUAGGCGUCUGCCUGUAGCCUCAGAGGCCUGCCGACAACCAAAAACAUUUACCAGGAGCAGGAUGCUGGAAGCUGCCAUAGUAUUCCACUAACUUGAAAGCCACCCUGAUGCGUGAUUGUCAAAGAUUUAGGAAUAUAAAAGAAAAGUCAAAUUGAGCGCUUUGGAGGUAAGCAACUUUGGUGCCAACUCCAUGCUCAACCUCAAGACCCAUGGGCAGCCUAGAGGACAAAGUCACAUUGGUGGACCUUGUCCUUGAUUCAGGUGUCUGGUGCCUCCAGCAAGUCAAGCUGCCCGCGCUUUAAAAAUCCGUGGGAGGUAGCAUCAGCCGUGCCACGGACUUGAACUUGAGUUAGGCCUGCUCGUCACGAGGCUCCUCUUUCCAGCGGAGCAUGGUGGGUGGAGGCGUGCGACAGUGACUUCGCUUUGCUCUGAAGUUGGGACGCAAGCACAGCACACCAUAAAGACAACAGGCAACAUGACGGUGGAAUGUUCGGGAAGAAGAAGAAAGCCUGUAAGCCAACCUGCUGUGUCCCGAUUAGACUCCGGGUGGGUCGGCUCAAGCAAACGGGAGGCCGAAAGGACCUCGAUCAUUUUGGAAAUCCGUGCUACCGACGGACAGAGGGCCAUCAUCCAGAGGACAAUUUUUAUAGCCUGGUCCGGUGUCGGGGAGAAUGCUGAGCCUUUCUGUGUAGGCAUGGUCUUAGAGGAAAGGAACCGUGGCUGACGGGGCACCUUCUAAUGAGAAGAUUAGAAACAGAACACACAGCUCGUCCUGGCUGUGCCUCCAGCUGUGGAACCCAGGGCACGUCCCUUAAGUCGAAUUUCGGUUUUUCUCCUGUAUCACCAAAGAUCACUCCUGAGUGUCCGUCCUAUGUGUCGCUCGCUGCUGCAGCAUUUGAUACUGGUCCCUGUCCCGAGCCUAAAACUCCUUCCUAUCUGGUUCGAAUGCAGAUUCUGAAUCCGUGGGACUGGGGGUGGGGCCCGAGAUUCUGUAUUUCUACCAAGUUUCCAGGGAAGGCAGGUGCUGGUGGUCCAUGGACCACGCUUGUAGUAGCACGGCCCUCGCCUAGUUCCUGGCCCUUCGAGGCACGCGGUGGCAUUUACCUCUCCCCACCCGUCUCUGCUCCUCCCUCUUGGUGCCUUUGACGUUUUCUCAUACCACUUGCACAUGGCUCCCCGCACCAUGCUUUAGUUAGCUGCUGUCUCCGUGUCUCCCACGAGACUGCGAGCGGUUUGGGGGUAGAAACUACACGGCCUUCCUUUCAAUGUCAUCUGUGCCCUGCGUUGGACCAGGUACAUAAAAAAAGGAUCAAUCAAUGUUUGAUGAACUAAGCCUGUAAAUUGGAAAUCAGAACAUCAGUGCUGCCUGCCUUGACGAGUUGUUGUCGUGAGCAAACGCGGUGAUUUGGGAGAGAGAGCGUGGAAACGGAUCGUACGGUACAAACAUAAAGUGUUAUUAUCAAUCAGCUUUCUACUCUGCAGCAGUUCAGACCCCUGUAGCUGAAGCAUAUUGGUUGUGGCAUUCGCUCGGGCUCUGAUGAUUAUAAAAACUCAGAUUCAUCUAUGAUUUCAAAAUAAACCACAUUCUCUCCAGGCUAACAAGGGUGGCAGUCUCUGCCCAUGGGUGAUGAAGGAUCAAAGAGGUUCAGAC
Leopardus geoffroyi (Geoffroy's cat) is the source of this 2218-nucleotide long non-coding RNA. RefSeq lists it as uncharacterized. NCBI's taxonomy places the organism in Eukaryota, Metazoa, Chordata, Mammalia, Carnivora, Felidae. The transcript has 3 exons. The record is from RefSeq and is a predicted model, not a curated record.